Molecule: unclassified non-coding RNA, 238 nt
Filed under: Hevea brasiliensis (rubber tree)
Lineage: Eukaryota; Viridiplantae; Streptophyta; Magnoliopsida; Malpighiales; Euphorbiaceae
Source: RNAcentral
UGAACUAUGAAGACAUGCACUGCAUAACACAAUCAUCCAUCUACAAUCCAAGAACAGAAGAAACACUUACGGGAAGGCAACAGAGAGAAACAAAUUACUCGUAAAACAACAGAAAAUGGCAAAAAAAGGGGAGAAGCAGAAGGCAUCAACAUGAUUCUAAACACUAUGUUCAACGAAGUUUUAUUGAAGGUCAUAGAUUGAUUGUUACAAAAUCUUGAAGCCGAAAAGGAAGCCAAUG